Molecule: ribosomal RNA, 403 nt
Filed under: uncultured bacterium
Lineage: Bacteria
Description: partial 16S ribosomal RNA
Rfam family: Bacterial small subunit ribosomal RNA
Source: RNAcentral
GACGAACGCUGGCGGCGUGCCUAAUACAUGCAAGUCGAACGCAGUGGGGACGGGUGAGUAACACGUGGGUAACCUCCCAUCAGAGGGGAUAACACUUGGAAACAGGUGCUAAACCGAUACUGAUGGAUGGACCCGCGGUGCAUUAGCUAGUAGGUGGGGUAACGGCGGACCUAGGCCACGAUCCCUAGCUGGUCUGAGAGGAUGACCAGCCACACUGAAACUGAGAAACGGUCCAGACGCCUACGGGAGGCAGCAGUGGGGAAUAUUGCACAAUGGGCGCAAGCCUGAUGCAGCCAUGCCGCGUGAGGGAUGAAGGCUUUCGGGUUGUAAACCUCUUUCGGUACAGAACGGGUAUGUGCAGAAGAAGCGCCGGCUAACUACGUGCCAGCCGCCGCGGUAAUAC